CUGAGAGUAGUUUAUGGCAAAUGCAGAUGAGGUGAAGGCUCAUAUUUAAAGCCCCCGUAACUGACUGCAGCCUCCUACUAUGACACAUUGUUCUUCUAGGGGACGUUCACACUCAUGGGAAAGAAUUCAAAAACGAAAAUAAAUCAUCCCAGUACAUGAAGGCAGAGAGGAAACCAGUAAAAGAAAGAGCGGGAAGAAAAGAGGACGGGAGGGGCUGCCGAUUUUCUGUCAGUGGCUGAUUUUCCCCAAGAGAGCGUGCCCUGAUUUACAAUUCAGGAUCAUAUGUUCGUUGAAGAAAUGAUUUGUCUGACCAGCCAGGGUUUCCUCUCAUUAAGUUUUCUUACAACGUAGUAAACUAAAGUAAAAUUUAGAAAACUGUGUUUGGAAAGUAGAACUAAAAAGUACCUGUGUAAUUGUACUCCUCCAAGUGCAUUUUUUUAAACUGAGAGAAAUAACUUAUUUUUCAACUAAGAAGAUGAAUAAUAAUUCUGUGGCUGUGAUCAGUAGUAUCCUUCUUCUUUAUGGAAUGCCAGACUUUAAACUACCUUAAACAUCUGAAGUCUCUUAUAAAUGUUAAAAGGCAAACUGAGCUCAGUGCAUCUCAAGCCACUCUCUUCCACGGCAGGAAAAGGGUGACAGAUACUCAUGAGUGAUGGCUGCAACUCUAGCUACUUCCCGUUUCUCAGUCAAUGAGCUAUUUACAUUGGCGGCUCCAUCUUCUUCCUCUUUGCAUUGAUUUUUGGUUGUUUUGUAGAGUCCUAAAUUGGGUCUGCUUGGGUUCUGAAACCAAUGAAGAAAACUGCAUCAGUAUUUCAUCUAAAAAAAAAAAAAGGAAAUAGAAUCUACAUCAAUAAACUGUGUGUUUCAUGACAUCGUAAAAUGCCUUUGCCUGAGGCAGAAUUGGAUGAAAAGCAGCAGGAUGUGGUUUUGUUAAAAAAUCAUGACCAGGCAGAUAGCAGUUUGGGAUAAUUUAGACCUAUUGUUUUUGUAUAUACAACAUUUUUAUGUUAGACUUGAGUUAGGAGCAAAGAAUUCUGGUUGAGUUCCAAAAUCACAAUAUUGGUGCAGUUUCUGGAGCCUUUGCCCCAAACUCAAUCCCUAGAAAGAAACUGACAAGAAGAGAAGCGUGUUUGACAGCUGGAAAGCUGCAACAGGGCAGAGAUUGUGCC
Molecule: long non-coding RNA, 1169 nt
Filed under: Equus caballus (horse)
Lineage: Eukaryota; Metazoa; Chordata; Mammalia; Perissodactyla; Equidae
Description: lncRNA (ENSECAG00000049131.1)
Source: RNAcentral